Long non-coding RNA from Gallus gallus (chicken), 3719 nucleotides. The record is from Ensembl. Lineage: Eukaryota; Metazoa; Chordata; Aves; Galliformes; Phasianidae.
GCUAGACAUUCCGGGUAUUUCUUAAAGCCUUAAAGCUUGCACGCCUUUCUCUUGCUGCAGCUUUCCUCCACCCUGAAGACACAGCUGUGAUCAGCAGAUCUGUCCAGCAGGGAAGGUGAAAUACAGAAGAGGAUGUUGAUCUACUGACGUAAAGGAUGAUUUUCCCACUGUUCUGGGAGAACUUUAGAUUUUAUUCACUUCUUUCCUUUUUAACCAAAAGUAAGGGGAGAAAAACAAUGAGAAAGAAAAUUAAAGCCAAUGUGGGGAAUAAUGACAACACAUAACAACUGGAAAUCUGGCCCAAUACACAACUGAAUGAACAGAGUCUGGUAAAAUUUGUCCCAAGCUUCAAAACUGCUUUUUCUUGGUUGUAAGUAGGAAGUACUCCUUUAUUCCUGAUAUCAUUUUAGAAAAGAAAACAAUGCAAAGUAUUUGCAAAUUAUGCGAGUUUAUGAACUGUUUUUUGUAAUUAUAAGCUACAACUGAUAAAAUGGAGUACAGGUCUGCUGUCCAGAAGGAUCUCUACAGGGUGGGAACAUCAGGUGGGAAGUUCAGCAAAGACAAAUGCCAAGUCCUGCAACUGCGUUUGAGAUCAUGCUAGUAGCUAACAGGGAAAUCCAGCUGUCCCAGUGGAUAUCAAACUGAACGUAAAGCAGCACUGUGACCAAAGAUGAGGACCAACUGCAUCGUGAGCUGUAUGUGCAGUAUCACAGUCAGAAGAUCAAAGGAAGUGGUUAAACUCCUUGCCAAUCACAUGUGAGGCCACUUCUAGAGCACUGUCCCUAGCCUGGGCUCCCUACUACAAGAGGUGCGGACAUGCUUAAGAGUCCAGAGGAAUAUAAGUGAGGGGAGCUGGAGCAUAUUGCAUAAUAUAUGAAAUUAAAGGAGUUGGACUUAGCCUGAAGAAAGAAUAUGAAAUGGGAAAUUAACUACUAUCUUUCACCAUAUGAAGAAGGGCUGCAGAAGACAUGACAUCAGACUCUUCUCACAUGUGCACUACUAAGAAAAAAAAGGCAACAGGCACAAGUUGACACAAAAAUUCGGAUUGAAUGUAAGGAAAAAAAUUCACAAUGAUGAGCACCAAAUCCUGGAACAUCUUGCCUAAAGAUUUUAUGUGAUCAACAUCCUUGAAGGUUUUCAAAAUUAGUCCAGACAACUGGCUCUGAGCAACUUGAUCCAGAUCUGAAGCCAGAAUUGUUUUAAGUAGUGCUUAGAUUAGAGAUCUCUAGAUCUUCCUUCAAAACACUUUGGGGUUUAUGUAAGGUUUAAAAUAUUGCUAAAUUCCAUAGAAAAUUUCGAAAAAUAAGAGACAUUACCGUAAGUUUUAUAAUGAUCUAGCCUGAGCAGGGACAAUGCAAGGGGCCAUUGUGUUUAUGAAUGGAUAAUGGUCAACAAGAAGUAAAGACAAACUCAUUGCAGGGAUUCUUCCUUAGCUUUUCAAACAUUUUGCACCUGUACUACAGGAUCAUCUGACAAGCACAGAGCUAUCUGAGUAACAGCAACAAUCAUAUUUGGCAGGAGCAAAGAAAAACUCAAGCUACUUACCUCAGAAGUUCUUUAAAAUAACAUUUAAAAGAUUUUCUGGAGAGAAAUUUCAGCAUACCGUAAAGUCUGUGCUGUAGUUUCUAUUCCUUGUUUCAUUUAUCUUAUGCUGAUGCGGAACAUGAAAUGGUAGACAAUCUAGGUCUCUCUUUAGCUUUCUGUAACCUGUCCCGGGACUUGGUUACCUGGGUGCCAAUAAUGGAAAGCCACUAACAUGGCCCAGCUGUAUAACUUUGGCUUUGACUGCGGAGGAAAUUGCUGAGUUUUGAAAAAGAACAGUGAAAAGUGUGUAGAACAGAAGAGGAUGAUAAAACUGAAGACAGAGGAAUAAUGAAUGUCCCACGAAAUACCUGAAGUUCCCCCUGUCACUCUGUGCCUUAACCUUUGUGAUGCUAAAGACUCAGAUUUGCAACCCUACCGUUCAUCUUUCACUUACGGCUCUGUAAUCUUUUGCCUAAAUUUCUGUGAGGUUUUGUGUUUUUUUCCUUCUAUGUCAUUCUCCUACUGUCAUCCUUGUAAUUUUCAUGCCUUUACACCUCUAACGGUGUCACUUUAGGUUUCUCAUAGUAAGUGAUUGCCCUGGCAUGACAAUUACCCCUCCUUCCCUGCUUUUUCCUAUGCAUUGUUGUUUGUAAUUCAGCUUAUACUAGAGGCAAAGAAGACUUAAGAAAUAACAUCUUGUGUAAUAGUUAUUUAUAUAUAUAAUAAGUAUUACUCCCCAAUACAUGUGCAUGGUGCUCAACCAAUAAUUCCUCAUCUGUGAAGAUGUCCCAGAAACUAGCUGUAAGUCAUUGAUCGCAUUAUAGGCCUCUAAACAAAAAACUGCUUGAAAUUUAUUUGACAUACGUUGCUAGCAUUUUUAAUUUAAAAUUUAAUUUUUAAACUACUGAAAAGCACUGGUGUUAUACCACAAGCUCAUUCCACAUUAAACAUCACUGCAGUGCUAGGGUACCAAUCUCAGCAUCAUUAGCAACAUAAUCUCUAUGCUAAAAGUAUUAUUUUAUUUUUAUAUCUUUAGGUUUAUAAAUAUUGACCACUUUUAGAGCAUCUGAAGUUAUUUCUGCAGAUUUUAUCGUGAGCAGCACCUUGCUGUUACCUUGUGGGCUGACAGUGGGGACUCAGGUGAUGGAGGUGCUGCAGUUCACUCGCUCAUCUUCACUCCUGUGCUGUAGGAAAUCGUUGCACACAAAGCCUCUGCUUUCCCAGGAUGGCAUAGUUCAGUCAUCAACCUGGAGUACUUAGUCCUACUGUAUAUUUGGUGUGUACAGAUCACCAGGAGAAAAAAAAAUAAAACCUGCUGAGGACAUUUUGUCACAGCAUAUAAAUCAAAAAGCAAGUUGGAUGAAAAAGCUAAUCUAGUUACUUAUAGUCCUUAAAAUGUUCCAGACCAGAUGUUGAAAAAUGUCACGUUGACCAGCUCAGCACUGCAGGGUACUAAGCUUUUCCUCGGGGCUACUGGGCUUGAGUCAGAUGCAUUUAAAGGAUGCCCACGGUUUGUAAAUUCAAAGGUGCAGAAACAGGCACAAACAGAAGUGAAUCUCACUGGAAGGCAUGGAAUUAAGUGGAGAUCUAAAAGCUCAGCUACUCUUUCCCUAGGUCAGAUCAGUCCAGAUGGUUUAAUUCCUGACCAGUAUCUAUGCAACGCCAUGGAUGAAGCUUUGAUAUAUCAGUAAUUUCUGAAUAUUUUCUAUAAUUUGGAAAAGAAUGACUAAAUUCCACUUCGGUAGAUUCAACAAAACAAGGGUAAAAGAAAAAGAAAAUCUGAGCAUAUGUAGAUUAUUUCUUUUCACAUUUGGAAUGGAAGGUAUCAAAAAUAGAUUAAGAUGCUUGGCUGGAAGCACUUUAUGUGACCUCAAGCCAUAGCCUGAUGCCAAACAAGAGUUUUAAAAAUCCAAUUAAAAUAAAAUAUUAAAUAUAUAAAUAAAAGUUGUAAAUAAUUCCUCACUGUCAGAUAAAAAUACAUACACAUAUACAUACACAGAAUGCACUUUUGACUUACACUGAAGUACAUGUCAAUGGUUGAACUGAAGUUGUUGUUUUUCUGUGCAGCUUGGGAGAGAAUGUGUCUAAAUGUCAUUUAAAGUAUUAAAUAAAGAAAGAAAUUGUAACUUUUAUUUAGUCUCACCCUUUUCUUUAUUUGUUACUCAUCCACUAGAAUAAAAAUCUAUUAGUCAUCC